This 3772-nucleotide long non-coding RNA is filed under the name Sus scrofa (pig). Its description in RNAcentral is "lncRNA (ENSSSCG00000051864.1)". The record is from RNAcentral. Lineage: Eukaryota; Metazoa; Chordata; Mammalia; Artiodactyla; Suidae.
AUAGGUGUGGUCCUUCUGGUGUUCUACCAACAGCUCCUCUCUCUGCCAAAGUUGUGAGUGAGGAGGUCAAGCCCAUGAUGAUGUCAGAAAAUUACCCAGAGACAGGAGGCCCAUGCUAGGGUUCAGAAAGCACGUUGUCAAAAUAAAACUAGGAUUGCAUGUUUCCUUUGGAAAUGAUGGGGUAAGGAUAGGGGAUGAAUGGAGCUCAGGGUUCAAGAGCCUCUGAGCAUCCACCAUUGGGUGAUAAGAGGAUAAGUAAGUCAGAUCUCUGCUAGUAUGGAGAGCCACCUGAGAAGGAAGGGCAAGAAUGAAGACACAGGUUGAUGGGCUUGUGAGCCUGGGACUUAUAGGUGAUGCCAUAUUGGAAGAAGAACAUCAGUGGAAAGAGGGUUGGGCAGUGACUCUGGUACAGAAUUUUCCCAGCUAGAGAAAACUCAGCCUUUUCAGAAUUAGCUGUACAUAAAACCAUUUGCCUUGGUGAUGCAGGUUAAAAAUAGUGGUAAUUGCCAGCUCCCUGAGUGUGGCCAAUUAUUACCAUUAUUAUAAUUGGACUGGAAAUUAACCCAUUGUGUAGGGAGCCUGCAACAUAUCCAAACUCGUUUCAGGCCAGCUGGUUUGUAAAAUGCCAGUAUUAGCCUGGUUGGUGUUUUCUUGGAAGAACUCAAAGCAGAGGUGGGGGGUGGGGAGAAUGGUGCCAGCUGUAGCCCCCAUUCCUUCCAAGCCUUUGGUAGCAGUUCUGAAAUCUGAAGCAGGGAGAUAUUGUGCCACAGGGCUGAGGGCUCUGCCCUUCCUGGUGGAGUGGCAUCAGGCCUGGUCACCCUGAUGUAUGAUGUCAUGGCUGUGACAGUGAGACCUGUGUGUUCUAGAGGGUCUGAAGCAGUCCAAGGUCUCCAAGAAACCCAUUUCUUUUCUUUAUUUCUCCCUCUUUUUUUUCCCCACUUUUUAGGGCCACACCCACAGCAUAUGGAAGUUCCCAGGCUAGGAGUCGAAUCAGAGCUGCAGCUGACAGCCUAUGCCACAGCCACAGCAAUACCAGCCAGAUGCAAGCCGUGUCUGCAACCUAUAACACAACUCACGGCAAUGCCAGAUCCUUAACCCAGGGAGUGAAUCCAUGUCCUUAUGGAUAGUAGUGGGGUUUGUUACUGCUGAACCACAAAGAGAACUCCCUGAGGACCCAAAAUUGAUCUAAAUUCUGAGGGUCACAUCGAAGGUUUGCCCAUUUGGGAAAAUCAGAUCUAAUGGAAAGAAAUUGCUUUGCACUACAUGGUGAGGGGAGAAUAAAAGGCUGGGUAUUUCUCUUGGCCAUCUAAGGCAGAUUGGGACUAAUGUGGGCCUGCAAGAUACCUGGGAUACAAAAUUUAAGAGGGUCUCAAUCCCAGGUUUACAGAAGUGCCGUGUCAGUGCUUGCAUAGACCUGAGAGUACGGGCCUCCUUAAAUUUUGUCCCUGGUCCCAAUGCUGCUCUCUGAAUGCCUGACCCUGGUCCUUACUCAGAGGAGAAAGUGAGCAGGAUGCCUGUGAUGGGAGUGACCUGGCAGGGGGCUCAGGAGGAUGGAGGCUUUUGUGGAAACUCGGUUGCCUCCCUCAACAUUCAUUUCUCCUUACCCCUUAGGAACAAGAUCCUGAGUUUAUUUAGGGUGAUGGGCAAAGAACUGAGUUUACUAAAAGUGCAAAAAAGAGGGGUUCCCAUUGCGGCUCAGCAGUAACGAAUCUGACUAGUAUCCACAAGGACACAGGUUCGAUCCCUGGCCUUACUCAGUGGGUUGAGGUUUUGCCAUGAGCUGUGGUGUAGGUUGCAGAAGAGGCUUGGACACUGUGUUGCUAUGGCUGUGGUGUAGGCUGGUAACGACAGCUCGGAUUUAACCCCUAGCCUGAGAACUUCCAUAGGCUGCAGGUGUGGCCCUAAAAAGCAAAAAAAAAAAAAAAAAAAAAAAAAAAAAGUGCAAAAACUAUAGAGGCUUUUUUCCCUUUCUUUUGCUGUAUUGACUUUUCUCCUUCUUUUCACCUGUAGUUUGAAAGUUCAAAGGGCCUCUUGGACUAUGAGGUGACCUUAAGAAUGGAAGUUGUGUACUAGGGAGACACAAUAGAAAGAGAAAUCUGAGUCCUUAAUGUCAGUAUGGAGCUGUUAAUGAUGCUGUUAUUACAUCUCAUACAAGACAGGUCUUGAUAGAUAUGGAAUCAUGACUCUGAAGGACAAAAGUAACAGGUUUCAAAUCUUCUUCCUAAGAAGGGCCAAGCAGGACUUGAGACCCAGAACCACCUGAUUUUGAACCUGUGCGUUUAGCUGACACCUUGUUCAGCCAUGAGCAGAGGGUACUUGUGGCCAGGCUUUGGAAAACAAGCUGUACAUGGGCCUAUUUGGGGCAGGGCUGGAAGUCAGCCCAUUCCCUGAUCAAGCUGAAAGGUUUCUGCCAAGCCCGCUUGAACAGCUUGUGCUCCCUGGACCUGAAGCCUGCUCAUUGGCUCUGCCCAUCCCCACCCUACCUCUGCAGGCCUGGCCUAAGAAUUAUCCUCCCUGCUGGGGCCUUCCAGCUCUCAGCUUUCACUGCAUUGUGCUGGUCCUGCCUGCUUACCCUCGAGGGAAGCACUCCCCAGGGCUUUCUUUUCCAACCUCCACAUGCCCAACUAGAUUAGGUUUCUAUGAAAUAUGUAUGCUUUUUCCAACAGUCCUGGGAAGUCUCUAUCUGCCAGGUUCAGCUGGACAGGCUGAUAAGUCAGGUUGAGGAAAGUUACUCUUUUAUUCAGCUAUCUGCCCGUCACCAAGGGGGAGGGAGGGGAGUUCUAGCUGGAGUAUAUUCCUGUUUCAAGGGCAGCUCAGGAUCAGAAAGGCCACCCAAGGGCAGGUAAAGUGGCUUGUAAGGAAAACCAUCCAGCCAAGAGAUGGGACAGGGUGUAUCUGGUGUGAUUGGAGGCCCCCCACUUUAUCCCAGUGCUCUCAAACUUCCCACUUGACUCCACUCCCAGAUACUCUGCUGACACCAGAGGCUCAUUCCUUGAAGUCUUGAGGGCUUUGAGACCUUCGGCAAGUUUCCCAGCCUGGUUUAAAUUUUGACUUGUGUAUUGUGUUUAUCUUAGGGUUCAGAUGUGCCUGAUCACGUGGAGAGCUAAUGGGGGUGGGGAGGCUAAGUAAGAGUGUCUGGGGAGCUAGUUGUAGGAAAAUUAAAGGAGUUUGGGGGGGGAAGGAGCUCAAGAUGAGGGAAGAGAAAGUUGAAGCAUAUAGUUUGUGGGUGAGAAAUAGCAUAUGAGUGAUCCCACUCCUGGGUAUACAUCCAGGAAAGACAAAAACCUCUAAUUAAAAAAGACACUUGCACCCCAAUGUUAAUAGCAGCACUAUUUGCAAUAUUCAAGACAUGGAAACAACCUAAGUGUCCAUCAACAGAGGAAUGGAUAAAAAAGAUGUGAUAUAUAUACAUAACAGAAUAUUCGAUGGAAUGUUACUUUGUCAUAAAAAAGAAUGAAAUAAUGCCAUUUGCAGCAACAUGGAUAGACCUAGACAUGAUCAUACUAAGUGAAGUAAACCAGAGAAAGACAAAUAUCAUGAUUUCACUUCUAUGUGGAAUCUGAAAAACUGAUACAAGUGAACUUAUUUAUACAACAGAAACAGACCCAUGGACAUAGGAAACAAACUUAUGGUUACAAAGGGAUCAGGUGGUGGGGCGAAUUGGGGGUUUGGAAUUGGCAUAUGCACACUAUUGUAUAUGGAAUGAAUGGUCAACAAGUACCUGUUGUAUAGCACAGGGAAAUCUACUCAGUAUUCUGGGAUAAUCUACAUG